RNAcentral lists this ribosomal RNA (2567 nucleotides) under Staphylococcus aureus. RNAcentral describes it as "partial 23S ribosomal RNA". It matches the Rfam family "Bacterial large subunit ribosomal RNA", at positions 84 to 2649 of the family's 2925-position model. Lineage: Bacteria; Bacillati; Bacillota; Bacilli; Caryophanales; Staphylococcaceae. The record is from RNAcentral.
AGCUGUAAGUAAGCUUUGAUCCAGAGAUUUCCGAAUGGGGAAACCCAGCAUGAGUUAUGUCAUGUUAUCGAUAUGUGAAUACAUAGCAUAUCAGAAGGCACACCCGGAGAACUGAAACAUCUUAGUACCCGGAGGAAGAGAAAGAAAAUUCGAUUCCCUUAGUAGCGGCGAGCGAAACGGGAAGAGCCCAAACCAACAAGCUUGCUUGUUGGGGUUGUAGGACACUCUAUACGGAGUUACAAAGGACGACAUUAGACGAAUCAUCUGGAAAGAUGAAUCAAAGAAGGUAAUAAUCCUGUAGUCGAAAAUGUUGUCUCUCUUGAGUGGAUCCUGAGUACGACGGAGCACGUGAAAUUCCGUCGGAAUCUGGGAGGACCAUCUCCUAAGGCUAAAUACUCUCUAGUGACCGAUAGUGAACCAGUACCGUGAGGGAAAGGUGAAAAGCACCCCGGAAGGGGAGUGAAAUAGAACCUGAAACCGUGUGCUUACAAGUAGUCAGAGCCCGUUAAUGGGUGAUGGCGUGCCUUUUGUAGAAUGAACCGGCGAGUUACGAUUUGAUGCAAGGUUAAGCAGUAAAUGUGGAGCCGUAGCGAAAGCGAGUCUGAAUAGGGCGUUUAGUAUUUGGUCGUAGACCCGAAACCAGGUGAUCUACCCUUGGUCAGGUUGAAGUUCAGGUAACACUGAAUGGAGGACCGAACCGACUUACGUUGAAAAGUGAGCGGAUGAACUGAGGGUAGCGGAGAAAUUCCAAUCGAACCUGGAGAUAGCUGGUUCUCUCCGAAAUAGCUUUAGGGCUAGCCUCAAGUGAUGAUUAUUGGAGGUAGAGCACUGUUUGGACGAGGGGCCCCUCUCGGGUUACCGAAUUCAGACAAACUCCGAAUGCCAAUUAAUUUAACUUGGGAGUCAGAACAUGGGUGAUAAGGUCCGUGUUCGAAAGGGAAACAGCCCAGACCACCAGCUAAGGUCCCAAAAUAUAUGUUAAGUGGAAAAGGAUGUGGCGUUGCCCAGACAACUAGGAUGUUGGCUUAGAAGCAGCCAUCAUUUAAAGAGUGCGUAAUAGCUCACUAGUCGAGUGACACUGCGCCGAAAAUGUACCGGGGCUAAACAUAUUACCGAAGCUGUGGAUUGUCCUUUGGACAAUGGUAGGAGAGCGUUCUAAGGGCGUUGAAGCAUGAUCGUAAGGACAUGUGGAGCGCUUAGAAGUGAGAAUGCCGGUGUGAGUAGCGAAAGACGGGUGAGAAUCCCGUCCACCGAUUGACUAAGGUUUCCAGAGGAAGGCUCGUCCGCUCUGGGUUAGUCGGGUCCUAAGCUGAGGCCGACAGGCGUAGGCGAUGGAUAACAGGUUGAUAUUCCUGUACCACCUAUAAUCGUUUUAAUCGAUGGGGGGACGCAGUAGGAUAGGCGAAGCGUGCGAUUGGAUUGCACGUCUAAGCAGUAAGGCUGAGUAUUAGGCAAAUCCGGUACUCGUUAAGGCUGAGCUGUGAUGGGGAGAAGACAUUGUGUCUUCGAGUCGUUGAUUUCACACUGCCGAGAAAAGCCUCUAGAUAGAAAAUAGGUGCCCGUACCGCAAACCGACACAGGUAGUCAAGAUGAGAAUUCUAAGGUGAGCGAGCGAACUCUCGUUAAGGAACUCGGCAAAAUGACCCCGUAACUUCGGGAGAAGGGGUGCUCUUUAGGGUUAACGCCCAGAAGAGCCGCAGUGAAUAGGCCCAAGCGACUGUUUAUCAAAAACACAGGUCUCUGCUAAACCGUAAGGUGAUGUAUAGGGGCUGACGCCUGCCCGGUGCUGGAAGGUUAAGAGGAGUGGUUAGCUUCUGCGAAGCUACGAAUCGAAGCCCCAGUAAACGGCGGCCGUAACUAUAACGGUCCUAAGGUAGCGAAAUUCCUUGUCGGGUAAGUUCCGACCCGCACGAAAGGCGUAACGAUUUGGGCACUGUCUCAACGAGAGACUCGGUGAAAUCAUAGUACCUGUGAAGAUGCAGGUUACCCGCGACAGGACGGAAAGACCCCGUGGAGCUUUACUGUAGCCUGAUAUUGAAAUUCGGCACAGCUUGUACAGGAUAGGUAGGAGCCUUUGAAACGUGAGCGCUAGCUUACGUGGAGGCGCUGGUGGGAUACUACCCUAGCUGUGUUGGCUUUCUAACCCGCACCACUUAUCGUGGUGGGAGACAGUGUCAGGCGGGCAGUUUGACUGGGGCGGUCGCCUCCUAAAAGGUAACGGAGGCGCUCAAAGGUUCCCUCAGAAUGGUUGGAAAUCAUUCAUAGAGUGUAAAGGCAUAAGGGAGCUUGACUGCGAGACCUACAAGUCGAGCAGGGUCGAAAGACGGACUUAGUGAUCCGGUGGUUCCGCAUGGAAGGGCCAUCGCUCAACGGAUAAAAGCUACCCCGGGGAUAACAGGCUUAUCUCCCCCAAGAGUUCACAUCGACGGGGAGGUUUGGCACCUCGAUGUCGGCUCAUCGCAUCCUGGGGCUGUAGUCGGUCCCAAGGGUUGGGCUGUUCGCCCAUUAAAGCGGUACGCGAGCUGGGUUCAGAACGUCGUGAGACAGUUCGGUCCCUAUCCGUCGUG